This 88-nucleotide transfer RNA is filed under the name Pelagibius litoralis. Its description in RNAcentral is "tRNA-Leu". It matches the Rfam family "tRNA". From Rfam's summary of the family: Transfer RNA (tRNA) molecules are approximately 80 nucleotides in length. Their secondary structure includes four short double-helical elements and three loops (D, anti-codon, and T loops). Further hydrogen bonds mediate the characteristic L-shaped molecular structure. tRNAs have two regions of fundamental functional importance: the anti-codon, which is responsible for specific mRNA codon recognition, and the 3' end, to which the tRNAs corresponding amino acid is attached (by aminoacyl-tRNA synthetases). tRNAs cope with the degeneracy of the genetic code in two manners: having more than one tRNA (with a specific anti-codon) for a particular amino acid; and 'wobble' base-pairing, i.e. permitting non-standard base-pairing at the 3rd anti-codon position. Lineage: Bacteria; Pseudomonadati; Pseudomonadota; Alphaproteobacteria; Rhodospirillales; Rhodovibrionaceae. The record is from RNAcentral.
GCCCGCUUGAUGGAAUUGGUAGACAUACGAGACUUAAAAUCUCGGGACCGUUCAGGUCGUGCCGGUUCGAGUCCGGCAGCGGGCACCA